CGCUUCGUAGGAAUCUACCUUGUAGUGGGGGAUAACCUGGGGAAACUCGGGCUAAUACCGCAUAAUCUCUUUGGAGCAAAGCGGGGGAUCUUCGGACCUCGUGCUAUAAGAUGAGCCUACGUCGGAUUAGCUUGUUGGUGGGGUAAUGGCCUACCAAGGCGACGAUCCGUAGCUGGUCUGAGAGGACGAUCAGCCACACUGGGACUGAGACACGGCCCAGACUCCUACGGGAGGCAGCAGUGGGGAAUAUUGGACAAUGGGGGAAACCCUGAUCCAGCAAUGCCGCGUGUGUGAAGAAGGCCUUCGGGUUGUAAAGCACUUUCGGUGGGGAAGAAAUUCUCAAGGGUAAUAUCCUUGGGCGUUGACGUUACCCACAGAAGAAGCACUGGCUAACUCUGUGCCAGCAGCCGCGGUAAUACAGAGAGUGCAAGCGUUAAUCGGAAUCACUGGGCGUAAAGCGCGCGUAGGUGGAUAUUUAAGUCGGAUGUGAAAGCCCUGGGCUUAACCUGGGAAUUGCACCCGAUACUGGGUAUCUUGAGUAUGGUAGAGGGAAGUGGAAUUUCCGGUGUAGCGGUGAAAUGCGUAGAUAUCGGAAAGAACACCAGUGGCGAAGGCGACUUCCUGGACCAAUACUGACACUGAGGCGCGAAAGCGUGGGGAGCAAACAGGAUUAGAGACCCUGGUAGUCCACGCCGUCAACGAUGAGAACUAGCUGUUGG
RNAcentral lists this ribosomal RNA (719 nucleotides) under Coxiella burnetii. Its description in RNAcentral is "bacterial SSU rRNA". It matches the Rfam family "Bacterial small subunit ribosomal RNA", at positions 111 to 826 of the family's 1533-position model. Lineage: Bacteria; Pseudomonadati; Pseudomonadota; Gammaproteobacteria; Legionellales; Coxiellaceae. The record is from RNAcentral.